UAUAAUUUUAGUUGUAUAAAUAAUUUAAAUUAUUUGUUUUUUUAGUAUUAAUAGGAUAGAAGUUAAUGUUGAUUGUUGUGUACUGUAAAGGAAUAAUGUAUAUUUUAUAUUUUAGUAGAAUUUUAUUUUCGUACCUUUUGUAUAAUGGAUUGAUGAUUUUUUUAUUUUAUAUAAUAUUAUCUCGAAGUGGAAGGAUUUACUUAUUAGGAAUAUGUUAACGUUGCAUAGUUAUAUAGUGAUUAUUAAGUGGUAGUGAAAUGCUUAUCGUUUCCCAUGAUAGCUAGUUUAUUGGUGUAGAAUAUUUAAGUAUUGAAGUGUUGAAUUAUAAUGUUGAUUGUUUAUUAUUACAUUGUUUAUUAUGUGAGGGAUAAGCUUCAUAUAAUAGGAUAGAAUAUCAUUAAAUAUAUAAUUAAAUAGUUUAAGUAGAAUUAAUAUUGUUUUUCUUUAAAAGUGUUUUAAACUAUUAUUAUUAACUGAGAGUUCAUGUUUUUAACUAAUAAAUUUUUAUUAACUAGCUUAUAAAUAGUUAUAAUGUUAAUAUGAGUAUUGAGGUAUACAUAUAAUAAGGAGUUUGUAGUUAUUAUAGUUGUAGAGUGUUUAUAUUAUGUAUAUAUUAAUUAAAUAAAGUAAAGGAAUUCGGCAAAUAUUAAUCUCGCCUGUUUAUCAAAAACAUGUCUCUUUGUUUUGUUUAUAUGAAGAGUUGGGCCUGCUCGGUGAUUUUUUAACAGCUGCGGUAUUUUAACUGUACUAAGGUAGCAUAAUAAUUUGCCUUAUAAUUUGAGGCUAGAAUGAAUGGUUUGACGAAGGUUAAUCUGUCUCUACUUUAUUUUUUAGAAUUUAAUUUUUAUAGUGAAAAAGCUUGUAUUUUUUUAAGGGACGAGAAGACCCUAUUGAGCUUAUAAUUUUAUUAUUGUUAUGGUUAUAUUGGUCUAAUAUUAUAUAAAUUUUAAUUGGGGUGAUUAAGGAAUAAAGUAUUUAUAGAUAUUAACUUCCUUAGCUAUAAUUAUAUUGUUGAAUAAAGUAACCAAUAAGUUAUUGCUUUUAUAGUAGUUACCAUAGGGAUAACAGCGUAAUUUAUUUAGAGAGUUCUUAUUGAAAAAUGAGAUUGCGACCUCGAUGUUGGAUUAAAGUUACCUUAAGGUGCAGAAGCUUUAUUAGGUGAAUCUGUUCGAUUUUUAAAACUUUACAUGAUCUGAGUUCAGACCGGCGUGAGCCAGGUUGGUUUUUAUCUUUUGAAAAUGAGUAUUGCUUCUUUUAGUACGAAAGGACCAGGGAAAGCUAAUUUUUAAUUAUUAUUAUACAAAGUUGGCAGAAAAAU
RNAcentral lists this ribosomal RNA (1318 nucleotides) under Chtenopteryx canariensis. RNAcentral describes it as "16S ribosomal RNA". The stretch from base 1061 to 1220 matches the Rfam family "Bacterial large subunit ribosomal RNA", at positions 2473 to 2632 of the family's 2925-position model. The record is from RNAcentral. Lineage: Eukaryota; Metazoa; Mollusca; Cephalopoda; Oegopsida; Chtenopterygidae.